UGGGGAAUAUUGGACAAUGGGCGAAAGCCUGAUCCAGCCAUGCCGCGUGUGUGAAGAAGGUCUUCGGAUUGUAAAGCACUUUAAGUUGGGAGGAAGGGUUGUAACCUAAUACGUUGCAAUUUUGACGUUACCGACAGAAUAAGCACCGGCUAACUUCGUGCCAGCAGCCGCGGUAAUACGAAGGGUGCAAGCGUUAAUCGGAAUUACUGGGCGUAAAGCGCGCGUAGGUGGUUUGUUAAGUUGGAAGUGAAAGCCCCGGGCUCAACCUGGGAACUGCUUUCAAAACUGGCAAGCUAGAGUAUGGCAGAGGGUGGUGGAAUUUCCUGUGUAGCGGUGAAAUGCGUAGAUAUAGGAAGGAACACCAGUGGCGAAGGCGACCACCUGG
This 385-nucleotide ribosomal RNA is filed under the name uncultured bacterium. RNAcentral's name for it is "bacterial SSU rRNA". It matches the Rfam family "Bacterial small subunit ribosomal RNA", at positions 355 to 732 of the family's 1533-position model. The record is from RNAcentral.